UAAGGAAUAUUGGUCAAUGGACGCAAGUCUGAACCAGCCAUGCCGCGUGAAGGAUGAAGGUCCUCUGGAUUGUAAACUUCUUUUAUCUGGGACGAAAACGGGAUUUUUAUCUCAAUUUACGGUACCAGAGGAAUAAGCACCGGCUAACUCCGUGCCAGCAGCCGCGGUAAUACGGAGGGUGCGAGCGUUAUCCGGAUUUACUGGGUUUAAAGGGUGCGUAGGUGGGGUUAUAAGUCAGUGGUGAAAUCUCCGAGCUUAACGUGGAAACUGCCGUUGAUACUAUAGGUCUUGAAUUAUCUGGAGGUAAGCGGAAUAUGUCAUGUAGCGGUGAAAUGCUUAGAUAUGACAUAGAACACCAAUUGCGAAGGCAGCUUACUACAUAUAAAUUGACGCUGAGGCACGAAAGCGUGGGGAUCAAACA
Molecule: ribosomal RNA, 421 nt
Filed under: uncultured bacterium
Lineage: Bacteria
Description: bacterial SSU rRNA
Rfam family: Bacterial small subunit ribosomal RNA
Source: RNAcentral